GACGAACGCUGGCGGCGUGCUUAACACAUGCAAGUCGAACGGAAAGGCCCUGCUUUUGUGGGGUGCUCGAGUGGCGAACGGGUGAGUAACACGUGAGUAACCUGCCCUUGACUUUGGGAUAACUUCAGGAAACUGGGGCUAAUACCGGAUAGGAGCUCCUGCUGCAUGGUGGGGGUUGGAAAGUUUCGGCGGUUGGGGAUGGACUCGCGGCUUAUCAGCUUGUUGGUGGGGUAGUGGCUUACCAAGGCUUUGACGGGUAGCCGGCCUGAGAGGGUGACCGGCCACCAUGGGACUGAGAUACGGCACAGACUCCAACAGGAGGCAGCAGUGGAGAAUGUUACACAAUAGGGCGGAGCCUGUUGCCGCGACGUCGCGUUCGGGAUGACGGCCUUCGGGUUGUGAACCGAUUUCGCCUGUGACGAAGCGUUAGUGACGGUACUGGAUAAAAAAGCACCGGCUAACUACGUG
RNAcentral lists this ribosomal RNA (468 nucleotides) under uncultured bacterium. Its description in RNAcentral is "partial 16S ribosomal RNA". It matches the Rfam family "Bacterial small subunit ribosomal RNA", at positions 28 to 507 of the family's 1533-position model. The record is from RNAcentral.